CUUGCUUAAAUGCAGAGCUGACAGACAGCAAUUGUUACUUGUGCUUAGCUAUGAAUAUACCAGGGGUUCUCAGCUGAUUUUCAUCACGGUAGCAACAGUUCAAAUGAAAUGGGACCAUCAUACCUGAGCCAGCUUGUCGCUGCAUUCAUGCUUAGUUGUUGGUGGCUGACUUGACUGCGCUGGAGGACAAUGAAAGCCCUCUGUUCUGCCCUUUAUCGAGUGUUCAGGCGUCCGACCCUCAGUGAUCAGCAAGGCCAAGGAGACCAGGAACUCCUCAGCUUCAUACUCAAAGUACUCAUCUAAAGUAUCUCGUUCUGACUUCAUUUUCCCCGCUUCCUCGGAGCUCCGAGACGAGCCCGCGCGUCGGCGCCGUUCCUCGGACGGAGAGCCGCGGCAGCGGUGAGGGCGCACCAGGGGUUCCGCGGGGCCCCGCCGGCAGUCGGGCCCGGAGCUCGCUGCGCCGCGCUGGGCUGAGCCGAGCCGAGCUGGGCCCGCCUCCCGCCGGGUGUCCUCCCCUGACACGGCGCCGGGCGGGCUAUUUAUAACCGCCGGGAGGGACCCGCGAACGCAGCCACUUCCCC
Molecule: long non-coding RNA, 581 nt
Filed under: Gallus gallus (chicken)
Lineage: Eukaryota; Metazoa; Chordata; Aves; Galliformes; Phasianidae
Source: RNAcentral